UUGAUAGAUGUCUGACGGAUUCAAUAUUCAGCUCAUAAAGCUCUUACUGUUAGGAUCUCAGGAUUUCCGAGCUGCCUUGAACGCAGAAGUGGUUGACGAAAAGUGGUUUCAACUGACGUAAAACUCUGCCUAUAAAAGCGUUGGUGGUACGUCAGUUGUCCUCUCAUUCCCUCUGUGUGUCUCUUCGUACGCAGAACACAUCUCUGUCUCGGUCCUCCUGAAAGCACGCAACAGGAUAUGCCCUUGUUGCUGGAUUCGAUGGGGCAGGAGUUUGGGCAACACCUCUGGGACAUGAGGUAAUGAAACCAUUAGGACAGCUUGGUGUCCCCUCUCUGGCCUUCCACACUGCAGCAUGAUGUCAGCACCCUGACGUCCCUCAACAAGAGGGGGUAAACAAACAGGUGGCUGCUAUAAAUGCACACGAUUCCAGGAGGAAAACCAACCAUGUAUUCAAAGUGUGCUGUGGCAGAGGUUGUCCUCCCAUGGUGCAGCAGGGCGUCACAGUAGAGGUCGCUGUGAUGGAAGAAACAUCCUGAGUGAAGAACCUUGACACUGCAGAACGUGUGACAGCAGAGAGGCCUCCCAGGAUGCAGCAGGGCUUCCCAGCCGAGAAUCCUGGGAUAUUCCUGGAGAGGUGAAGAGGAGUGACUUGUCCCUUCCUGUUGCUGCUCAACUGAUCUGGAGAGAUCAUUGCAGAAAACGUUGUACAGCGGUUACUGUGUGGUUGUGUAUGCUGUGUACUUUCUAAAAUAAACAACCACUUCAAUCA
Eleginops maclovinus (Patagonian blennie) is the source of this 769-nucleotide long non-coding RNA. RefSeq lists it as uncharacterized. The record is from RefSeq and is a predicted model, not a curated record. The transcript has 9 exons. Lineage: Eukaryota; Metazoa; Chordata; Actinopteri; Perciformes; Eleginopidae.